UUAUUGAACUUGGUAUUCAUGGUCUAUGGU
RNAcentral lists this non-coding RNA (30 nucleotides) under Mus musculus (house mouse). The record is from RNAcentral. Lineage: Eukaryota; Metazoa; Chordata; Mammalia; Rodentia; Muridae.